Molecule: ribosomal RNA, 253 nt
Filed under: uncultured bacterium
Lineage: Bacteria
Description: partial 16S ribosomal RNA
Rfam family: Bacterial small subunit ribosomal RNA
Source: RNAcentral
UACGAAGGGGGCUAGCGUUGCUCGGAAUUACUGGGCGUAAAGGGCGUGUAGGUGGCCAACUAAGUCAGACGUGAAAUCCCUCGGCUUAACCGGGGAACUGCGUCUGAUACUGGAUGGCUUGAGACCGGGAGAGGUGAGUGGAAUUCCCAGUGUAGCGGUGAAAUGCGUAGAUAUUGGGAGGAACACCAGUGGCGAAGGCGGCUCACUGGACCGGAACUGACGCUGAGGCGCGAAAGCGUGGGGAGCAAACAGG